AGUGGGGGAUAACGUAGCGAAAGGUACGCUAAUACCGCAUAUGCCCUGAGGGGGAAAGGGGGGGAUCGCAAGACCUCUCGCUUUCGGAGUGGCCGAUAUCGGAUUAGCUAGUAGGUGAGGUAAAGGCUCACCAAGGCGACGAUCCGUAGCUGGUCUGAGAGGACGACCAGCCACACUGGGACUGAGACACGGCCCAGACUCCUACGGGAGGCAGCAGUGGGGAAUUUUGGACAAUGGGCGAAAGCCUGAUCCAGCCAUGCCGCGUGAGUGAAGAAGGCCUUCGGGUUGUAAAGCUCUUUCGGACGGAAAGAAAUCGCACUGAUUAAUACUCAGUGUGGAUGACGGUACCGUAAGAAGAAGCACCGGCUAACUACGUGCCAGCAGCCGCGGUAAUACGUAGGGUGCGAGCGUUAAUCGGAAUUACUGGGCGUAAAGCGUGCGCAGGCGGUUUUGUAAGACAGAUGUGAAAUCCCCGGGCUUAACCUGGGAACUGCAUUUGUGACUGCAAGGCUAGAGUGUGGCAGAGGGGGGUAGAAUUCCA
Molecule: ribosomal RNA, 541 nt
Filed under: uncultured Gallionellaceae bacterium
Lineage: Bacteria; Pseudomonadati; Pseudomonadota; Betaproteobacteria; Nitrosomonadales; Gallionellaceae
Description: bacterial SSU rRNA
Rfam family: Bacterial small subunit ribosomal RNA
Source: RNAcentral